UAGAGUUUGAUCAUGGCUCAGAUUGAACGCUGGCGGCAUGCCUUACACAUGCAAGUCGAACGGCAGCGCGGGAGCAAUCCUGGCGGCGAGUGGCGAACGGGUGAGUAAUACAUCGGAACGUGCCCAAUCGUGGGGGAUAACGCAGCGAAAGCUGUGCUAAUACCGCAUACGAUCUACGGAUGAAAGCAGGGGAUCGCAGGACCUUGCGCGAAUGGAGCGGCCGAUGGCAGAUUAGGUAGUUGGUGAGGUAAAGGCUCACCAAGCCUUCGAUCUGUAGCUGGUCUGAGAGGACGACCAGCCACACUGGGACUGAGACACGGCCCAGACUCCUACGGGAGGCAGCAGUGGGGAAUUUUGGACAAUGGGCGCAAGCCUGAUCCAGCCAUGCCGCGUGCAGGAUGAAGGCCUUCGGGUUGUAAACUGCUUUUGUACGGAACGAAACGGUCUUUUCUAAUAAAGAAGGCUAAUGACGGUACCGUAAGAAUAAGCACCGGCUAACUACGUGCCAGCAGCCGCGGUAAUACGUAGGGUGCAAGCGUUAAUCGGAAUUACUGGGCGUAAAGCGUGCGCAGGCGGUAAUGUAAGACAGUUGU
Molecule: ribosomal RNA, 593 nt
Filed under: Variovorax sp. enrichment culture
Lineage: Bacteria; Pseudomonadati; Pseudomonadota; Betaproteobacteria; Burkholderiales; Comamonadaceae
Description: bacterial SSU rRNA
Rfam family: Bacterial small subunit ribosomal RNA
Source: RNAcentral